CCCUUAGAUGUCCUGGGCUGCACGCGCGCUACACUGAUGUGUCCAGUAAGCACCUAACCUCUUCCGAAAGGAAUGGGUAACCUUUGCAAAGCACAUCGUGAUGGGGAUAGAUUAUUGCAAUUAUUAGUCUUGAACGAGGAAUUCCUAGUAAGCACAAGUCAUCAGCUUGUGUUGAUUACGUCCCUGCCCUUUGUACACACCGCCCGUCGCUCCUACCGAUUGAAUGUUCCGGUGAGCUCUUCGGACUGCGCGGUCUGCAGUUUCUGCGUUCCGUGCGGAAAGUUGCGCAAACCUUAACAUUUAGAGGAAGGAGAAGUCGUAACA
Molecule: ribosomal RNA, 324 nt
Filed under: uncultured eukaryote
Lineage: Eukaryota
Description: partial 18S ribosomal RNA
Rfam family: Eukaryotic small subunit ribosomal RNA
Source: RNAcentral